AGGACGAACGCUGGCGGCGUGCUUAACACAUGCAAGUCGAGCGGAAAGGCCCUUCGGGGUACUCGAGCGGCGAACGGGUGAGUAACACGUGAGCAAUCUGCCCUUAGCUUCGGGAUAGCCCCGGGAAACCGGGAUUAAUACCGAAUACGACCUCGGCCGACAUCGGCUUUGGUGGAAAGUUUUUCGGCUAGGGAUGAACUCGCGGCCUAUCAGCUUGUUGGUGGGGUAAUGGCCUACCAAGGCGACGACGGGUAGCCGGCCUGAGAGGGCGACCGGCCACACUGGGACUGAGACACGGCCCAGACUCCUACGGGAGGCAGCAGUGGGGAAUAUGCGCAAUGGGCGAAAGCCUGACGCAGCGACGCCGCGUGGGGGAUGAAGGCCUUCGGGUUGUAAACCCCUUUCAGCAGGGACGAAGCGAAAGUGACGGUACCUGCAGAAGAAGCGCCGGCUAACUACGCGCCAGCAGCCGC
RNAcentral lists this ribosomal RNA (473 nucleotides) under uncultured bacterium. RNAcentral describes it as "SSU rRNA". It matches the Rfam family "Bacterial small subunit ribosomal RNA", at positions 26 to 518 of the family's 1533-position model. The record is from RNAcentral.